GUGCCAGCAGCCGCGGUAAGACAGAGGGGGCAAGCGUUGCUCGGAAUCACUGGGCGUAAAGGGCGCGUAGGCGGGUUCGCAAGUCGGUCGUGAAAGCCCCGGGCUCAACCCGGGAGAGUCGGCCGAGACUGCGGGUCUUGAGGGGCGCAGAGGAGACUGGAAUUCCCGGUGUAGCGGUGAAAUGUGUAGAGAUCGGGAGGAACACCGGUGGCGAAGGCGGGUCUCUGGGCGCACCCUGACGCUGAGGCGCGAAGGCGUGGGGAGCAAACGGGAUUAGAUACCCGUGUAGUCC
RNAcentral lists this ribosomal RNA (292 nucleotides) under uncultured bacterium. Its description in RNAcentral is "partial 16S ribosomal RNA". It matches the Rfam family "Bacterial small subunit ribosomal RNA", at positions 505 to 796 of the family's 1533-position model. The record is from RNAcentral.